Molecule: ribosomal RNA, 372 nt
Filed under: uncultured bacterium
Lineage: Bacteria
Description: bacterial SSU rRNA
Rfam family: Bacterial small subunit ribosomal RNA
Source: RNAcentral
AGCUAAUGCCGGAUGAGACCACCGAUCCCCUUCGGGGGUUGCGGCCAAAGGAUGGCCUCUACUUGUAAGCUAUCGCUGAGGGAUGGGCCUGCGGGCCAUUAGCUUGUUGGUGAGGUAACGGCUCACCAAGGCUGUGAUGGCUAGCUGGUCUGAGAGGAUGACCAGCCACACUGGGACUGAGACAGGCCCAGACUCCUACGGGAGGCAGCAGUGGGGAAUAUUGCGCAAUGGGCGAAAGCCUGACGCAGCGACGCCGCGUGGGUGAUGAAGGCCUUCGGGUCGUAAAGCCCUGUCGCAGGGGAAGAAUAAGCAUCGGUAUAAUACGCCGGUGCCCUGACGGUACCCUGCAAGAAAGCACCGGCUAACUCCGUG